GGAUCCGUUGUGCAAUGGUAGCGUGUCUGACUCCAGAUUAGAAGGUUGCGUGUUUGAUUCAUGUUGGGUUUA
Molecule: transfer RNA, 72 nt
Filed under: Ipomoea nil (Japanese morning glory)
Lineage: Eukaryota; Viridiplantae; Streptophyta; Magnoliopsida; Solanales; Convolvulaceae
Rfam family: tRNA
About the family: Transfer RNA (tRNA) molecules are approximately 80 nucleotides in length. Their secondary structure includes four short double-helical elements and three loops (D, anti-codon, and T loops).
Source: Rfam by way of RNAcentral